RNAcentral lists this ribosomal RNA (295 nucleotides) under uncultured bacterium. RNAcentral's name for it is "partial 16S ribosomal RNA". It matches the Rfam family "Bacterial small subunit ribosomal RNA", at positions 334 to 627 of the family's 1533-position model. The record is from RNAcentral.
UUCUCCUACGGGGGGCAGCAGUGAGGAAUAUUGGUCAAUGGACGAGAGUCUGAACCAGCCAAGUAGCGUGAAGGAUGACUGCCCUAUGGGUUGUAAACUUCUUUUAUAUGGGAAUAAAGUUUUCCACGUGUGGAAUUUUGUAUGUACCAUAUGAAUAAGCAUCGGCUAACUCCGUGCCAGCAGCCGCGGUAAUACGGAGGAUGCGAGCGUUAUCCGGAUUUAUUGGGUUUAAAGGGUGCGUAGGCGGAUUUUUAAGUCAGCGGUAAAAUGUCCGGGCUCAACCCGGGCCGGCCGU